GAUGAAGAACGUAGCGAAAUGCGAUAAGUAGUGUGAAUUGCAGAAUUCAGUGAAUCAUCGAAUCUUUGAACGCACAUUGCGCCCCUCGGCAUUCCGUGGGGCAUACCUGUUCGAGCGUCAUUUCAACCAUCAAGCCCCAGGCUUGCGUUGGAGCCCUGCGGCUGCCGCAGCCUCCUAAAAGCAGUGGCGGGCUCGCUAUCACACCGAGUGCAGUAGAUUACUCUUCGCUCAGGGCGUGCAGCGGGUUCCGGCCGUGAAACCCCCUACUUUUAAAGGUUGACCUCGGAUCAGGUAGGAAUACCCGCUGAACUUAAGCAUAUCAAUAAGCGGAGGA
RNAcentral lists this unclassified non-coding RNA (334 nucleotides) under soil metagenome. Its description in RNAcentral is "partial contains 5.8S ribosomal RNA, internal transcribed spacer 2, and large subunit ribosomal RNA". The stretch from base 1 to 120 matches the Rfam family "5.8S ribosomal RNA", at positions 35 to 154 of the family's 154-position model. The record is from RNAcentral.